Molecule: long non-coding RNA, 1413 nt
Filed under: Homo sapiens (human)
Lineage: Eukaryota; Metazoa; Chordata; Mammalia; Primates; Hominidae
Description: HSALNT0325326
Source: RNAcentral
UCUUGAACUCCCGACCGCCCGCCUUGGCCUCCCAAAGUGUUGGGAUUACAGGCGUAAGCCACCGCGCCUGGCUGGGACUAAUAUUCUAUGAAGGCUGCCAGCCUGGGGCUAAGCACCUAGCUUUUCCAAAUGUUGACAUGUUUUCUCUAUAGCCCUACCUGAUGGACUGGACUUCUGCCUGGAUUGGAGUUUGAUCAUGCCUCCAUAUGGGUGUUUACCAGGCGUAUGCAUUGAACCUGAGUUUGUCUCUUCAAUACAAGGAAAAUGUCCUUGGAGUUUCAACAUUUCUUUGGUCUUCCACAUUUCAUUUUGUCCUGAUUAAAGAGGAAGCCAGUUGCUGUUUGUGUGGCCAUGUGAGCAGGCAGGGAGAUGGUGGCUGCCUAGAAGCCAAGAGAAGUGGCCUCAAGAUGAAAUCUACCUUGCUGGUACUUUGAUCUUGGACUUGCAGCCUCCAGAACUGUGAGGCUUGUCCAUUUUAAUGAGAAGCUUAUGUGGCAUGGAACUGAGUUCACCCCCAACCAGCAGCUGGUGAGGAAUGGAGCUCUUCGUUCAAUGACUCAUAAUGAGCUUUGAGACAACCAAAGCCCCCUAGCUAACCUGUGCCUGGAUUCCUGGCCCACAAAGACAGUGAGAGAGGGACCCAACUCAGCCCAUGAAGCCACUGAAAUACAGGAAAGAGCAUCUUCAUUGAAGCCACUGGAGCAUGGGAAAGAGCACCACCAGCUCCCUGCUCGCUAGCUGUGAACCUCAGGAUGGAAUAGAAGAUGGAUAAAAAGCUUCUACUGCAGCCUGGGCCCAGUUCACUUUCUCUCUUGGCUCCAAUCCUGGUGGACACAGUAGGGGCUCCUCAAAAGCUCCACCCAUCACCUCCUUGAAUCACUGCAUCAUCUACUUCACACUGGGGCACAGACAAUUGGAUGGCUUCUUUGAUCUCUGUCUAGCACUUGAUCGUAAGUAUUGGAUUUGAAAACCUAACUUUAAAUAAUGUGAGGAAGAGGAUCCAAGGUAUGUUUUAUUUCAACAUAUUAAAAAUGGAUAUCAGAUAUAAAAAUACUGGUUAAGUUAUAUAAGUAGAAUUGUUUCCAGACCAUAUUGUGUAUUAAUUAUAUCCUAGUUCAUAGCCAUAAAACAAUAUUUUAUUAUACUACAUUUCCGGUGGUCACUGAGCAUCCAUGAGUAUAGUAAGUGGAAAAAUGGUAAAAUCUGCAAAAUGGUUCUAUAUUAGAUUUUAUUAAAUAAGAGAAGCAACAACUUAAAUCAGACUCAAAAAAUCAAAAUAAUUUGGCUCCUUUAAAAAGCAAAGAAAGAUCAACAAAAAACUAACAUUUGGCCGAGGUAGCUUGCUCCCUUGUGGAUUCAGAGCUGAAAGUUACUGAAGACAUAUCAGUACAAAUGUGCACAUUAGAUAAUUCC